GGAAUAUUGGGCAAUGGGCGAAAGCCUGACCCAGCAACGCCGCUUGAUCGCAGACGGCCUUCGGGUUGUAAAGAUCUGUCAGUAGGGACGAACAAUGACUGUACCUACAGAGGAAGCACCGGCUAACUCCGUGCCAGCAGCCGCGGUAAUACGGGGGGUGCGAGCGUUGUCCGGAAUCAUUGGGCGUAAAGAGUUCGUAGGCGGUAUGUAAAGUCCGGUGUUAAAGGCGCAGGCUUAACUUGUGUAUGGCACUGGAUACUUGCAGACUAGAAUGCGGUAGAGGUAAAGGGAAUUUCUGGUGUAGCGGUGAAAUGCUUAGAUAUCAGGAAGAACAUCGGUGGCGUAAGCGCUUUACUGGGCCGUAAUUGACGCUGAGGAACGAAAGCCGGGGUAGCAAAUG
This 400-nucleotide ribosomal RNA is filed under the name uncultured bacterium. RNAcentral's name for it is "bacterial SSU rRNA". It matches the Rfam family "Bacterial small subunit ribosomal RNA", at positions 358 to 774 of the family's 1533-position model. The record is from RNAcentral.